RNAcentral lists this ribosomal RNA (518 nucleotides) under uncultured bacterium. RNAcentral's name for it is "partial 16S ribosomal RNA". It matches the Rfam family "Bacterial small subunit ribosomal RNA", at positions 355 to 864 of the family's 1533-position model. The record is from RNAcentral.
UGGGGAAUUUUGGACAAUGGGCGAAAGCCUGAUCCAGCAAUGCCGCGUGUGUGAAGAAGGCCUUCGGGUUGUAAAGCACUUUUGUCCGGAAAGAAAUCCUUGGCUCUAAUACAGUCGGGGGAUGACGGUACCGGAAGAAUAAGCACCGGCUAACUACGUGCCAGCAGCCACGGUAAUACGUAGGGUGCAAGCGUUAAUCGGAAUUACUGGGCGUAAAGCGUGCGCAGGCGGUUUGCUAAGACCGAUGUGAAAUCCCCGGGCUCAACCUGGGAACUGCAUUGGUGACUGGCAGGCUAGAGUAUGGCAGAGGGGGGUAAAUUCCACGUGUAGCAGUGAAAUGCGUAGAGAUGUGGAGGAAUACCGAUGGCGAAGGCAGCCCCCUGGGCCAAGUACUGACGCUCAUGCACGAAAGCGUGGGGGAGCAAACNGGAUUAAUNCCCUGGUAGUCCACGCCCUAAANGAUGUCAACUAGUUGUUGGGGGAUUCAUUUUCCUUAGUAACGUAGCUAACGCGUGAAG